RNAcentral lists this ribosomal RNA (520 nucleotides) under uncultured bacterium. Its description in RNAcentral is "bacterial SSU rRNA". It matches the Rfam family "Bacterial small subunit ribosomal RNA", at positions 24 to 518 of the family's 1533-position model. The record is from RNAcentral.
UCAGGACGAACGCUGGCGGCGUGCCUAAUACAUGCAAGUCGAACGGUCUUUCUAUGGAAGCUUGCUUCCACUGAAAGAUAGUGGCGAACGGGUGAGUAACACGUAGGUAACCUGCCCAUAAGAGGGGGAUAACAUCCGGAAACGGGUGCUAAUACCGCAUAGUUUUCUUGAUCGCAUGAUCGGGAAAGGAAAGACGGCCUUUGUGCUGUCGCUUAUGGAUGGACCCGCGGCGUAUUAGUUAGUUGGUGAGGUAACGGCUCACCAAGACGAUGAUACGUAGCCGACCUGAGAGGGUGAUCGGCCACAUUGGGACUGAGACACGGCCCAAACUCCUACGGGAGGCAGCAGUAGGGAAUCUUCCGCAAUGGACGAAAGUCUGACGGAGCAACGCCGCGUGAGUGAAAGAAGGUUUUCGGAUCGUAAAACUCUGUUGUCAGAGAAGAACAAGUUGGAGAGUAACUGCUCCAGCCUUGACGGUAUCUGACCAGAAAGCCACGGCUAACUACGUGCCAGCCGCCGC